RNAcentral lists this ribosomal RNA (510 nucleotides) under Fragilariopsis kerguelensis. RNAcentral describes it as "partial Bacterial small subunit ribosomal RNA". It matches the Rfam family "Bacterial small subunit ribosomal RNA", at positions 1 to 530 of the family's 1533-position model. The record is from RNAcentral. Lineage: Eukaryota; Bacillariophyta; Bacillariophyceae; Bacillariales; Bacillariaceae.
UUGAAGAGUUUGAUCAUGGCUCAGAUUGAACGCUGGCGGCAGGCUUAACACAUGCAAGUCGAGCGGAAACGAAGAUAGCUUGCUAUCAGGCGUCGAGCGGCGGACGGGUGAGUAACGCGUAGGAACCUACCUAAUAGUUUGGGAUAGCCAUUGGAAACGAUGAUUAAUACCGGAUACGCCCUACGGGGGAAAGCAGAGGACCUUCGGGCUUUGCGCUAUUAGAUGGGCCUGCGUGAGAUUAGCUAGUUGGUGGGGUAAUGGCCCACCAAGGCGACGAUCUUUAGCUGGUCUGAGAGGAUGAUCAGCCACACUGGAACUGAGACACGGUCCAGACUCCUACGGGAGGCAGCAGUGGGGAAUAUUGGACAAUGGGCGAAAGCCUGAUCCAGCAAUGCCGCGUGAGUGAUGAAGGCCUUAGGGUUGUAAAGCUCUUUUACCAGGGAUGAUAAUGACAGUACCUGGAGAAUAAGCUCCGGCUAACUCCGUGCCAGCAGCCGCGGUAAUACGGAG